GCAGAUACUGCCACAGGGGGCUGUCCUCGGGGGGCAGCAGGCGCUUCUGUCGCCGAGAUUGCCAUGGAGGGCACCAUCUCCCUGCCGGGAGGGGUACUAAGUCAGGGCCUGGGACUCCGGAGCACCAUGGGGUGGCCAGGAAUGCUUCUGCUGGACACCCUGGCCGACCCUCAGAAGCCUUCAAAUGGUCAAGACUUCAUGCGGCCCUUUUGAGACCUGUGGGAGCCUGACAUUAUCCAAGGAACAGUAUGCCCAGCUCUAGGGGAUGAAUUGUGAUCCAUCUCAGGCUGUCACAGCCAUCUCAGGACACAGUGACAGAUUCCAUACUGAACUUGAAAUCAUGCCCUCCAGAGGUGAGGCUUCAUUUUCCUCAAGAGUGAGUUUCUCGCAGGAGAUGCCUCCAUUCCAAAGACUCCUGGCAGGCCCAGUCCCUCCUCUACUUGACGAGCCCAAAUGCCAGCAUUGGGAACCCACCUUUGUGCUGCUGCAGACCUGUGGCCUCUCAUCGAUGAAGUAGGCACGAUCACUCUACAGGUGGCUUUCAGACAGAGGAAGGGACUCAUCCGAAGUCUCACAGCCGUGACAUGGGACUGGCUCCAAUUCUGUGUGGCCACAGCCUGGGGUAUUUCCCCACUCCAGGGGGAGUCUCUUUAUUUGCCUCAGUGCCAGGGGCACAGAGGCCUCUGGGACAGUGGAUGACCAGAUGGGUUGGGAGUUCCUGUGCAUCUUGCUGGGGACAGGGUCGGAGAAGCCCACAUCCUCCUGGCACAGUAGUUGGGUUUGUGCUAUGGAAAUGUUAUAUAACAGCCCCAGGUUUCAUUGGCUUCUAGAAUAAUCAAUUAAUUUUCUUGCUUCUGGUUCAGAGGGUCAGCUGGGGCUCUUCUGCUUCAGUGGUGGGUUCAGAUCUUUCCACCUGGGAGUGUUCUUUCCCAGUGGACAACACCGGUGCAAGAAGCCCACCUCGUAAGUGCUUUUAAAGCCUCCACCUCAGUCAGGUCUGCUGAUGUUCCAGUGGCCACAGCAUCACUUGGCCAAGCCCCAAGUCCUGAGUAAAGGCGUGUGCUCUAUCCUCUCCAUGGGGCGGCCCCGUAAGGUCACACGGCCAGGGGUAUGGACAUGUAACCCUAUUACUGGUGGCAGAGUGCAGAGUCAGGAGCAGCAGUCCAAUCUACACACAGGUCCUGAGGGCCCCAGGGUAUCUCCAAAGGUAUGGGUGCAGAGACCCCAUUGGGCACGGUCUCAGUGAGCUCAGGCAGGCCACAAUAGCUGCCGCAGGCAGAAGCUGAAGAUUUUCUAAUCAGUUCCGCCUCAGAGGAAGAACCUGAAGCUCUGGGAAUUGGAGUGUUGCCUAAGGUUGCAAGGCAACCCCUUGCCUCCGCCCACCCUCACUGCCAUCCUGAAAAUGGACAGGAGAGGGAGCUGAGGGGUCUGGCUCACCUUCCCUCUUCCAGCCUAGAGCACCUGCCGGCCAGCAAAGGAGAAACUCCCAGCCCUUUCUUUCCUCCAAGCCACCCUCAAGCUCAGCGUAUGCCCCUUUCCCCCAGAAACACCAGGAAAUGCAGCCUGGGACUCAGGAUUCAGACUGCAUGCACUGGAGACCUCCCAGUGCUUGUUCACGGCUGCAGCCCCGGGCUGGCCUGGGGGCAUACUUUGUUUUUCUUGAUCAGUGUUUUGUUUGUUUGAGUGACGCCAACACUAAACAAUUUGAAAAUUUCACAAAGAAUUUAGAUUUGAUUUUCAUUUCUGUUGAGAAAGUAGAAGAUUUCACCAAGCCAGACCCAUUUUGCUGCAUGCCAAGGCUACUAGCACUGCAUGUGCCUGUCCCCAUCCUCACAUGGGUUAUGUGUUUUGCCAAAGUCCCCACCACUCCCUGCUGCCUCAACACAACACAUUGCACUCAUAUUCCAUAUUGGUCUUUGUGCUGCUGGCACAUGA
Phyllostomus hastatus (greater spear-nosed bat) is the source of this 1935-nucleotide long non-coding RNA. RefSeq lists it as uncharacterized. Lineage: Eukaryota; Metazoa; Chordata; Mammalia; Chiroptera; Phyllostomidae. The transcript has 4 exons. The record is from RefSeq and is a predicted model, not a curated record.